RNAcentral lists this ribosomal RNA (1607 nucleotides) under metagenome. Its description in RNAcentral is "SSU rRNA". It matches the Rfam family "Eukaryotic small subunit ribosomal RNA", at positions 258 to 1801 of the family's 1831-position model. The record is from RNAcentral.
AACUUUUCGAAUCGCAUGGCCUCGUGCCGGCGAUGAUUCAUUCAAAUUUCUGCCCUAUCAACUUUCGACGGUAGUGUAGCGGACUACCGUGGUCGUAACGGGUGACGGAGAAUUAGGGUUCGGUUCCGGAGAGGGAGCCUGAGAGAUGGCUACCACUUCCAAGGAAGGCAGCAGGCGCGUAAAUUACCCAAUCCCAACACGGGGAGGUAGUGACAAUAAAUAACAAUGCAGGACUUAUCAAAGUCUUGCAAUUGGAAUGAGUACAAUUUAAACCCCUUAACAAGGAACAAUUGGAGGGCGAGUCUGGUGCCAGCAGCCGCGGUAAUUCCAGCUCCAAUAGCGUAUAUUAAAGUUGUUGCAGUUAAAAAGCUCGUAGUUGGAUUUUGGGUUAUGGGAGGCCCGGUCUGCUGCAGGUCAGUGUGUACUGGCUUCCCUAACCUUCCUUCCGGUUGCUACCCUCUGCUCUUUAUUGAGUGGGGGGUUCAGCUCCGGAUCGUUUACUUUGAAAAAAUUAGAGUGUUUAAAGCAGGCCUCCAGCGCCUUGAAUACAUUAGCAUGGGAUAAUAGAAUAGGACUCUGCUUCUAUUUUGUUGGUUUCUAGCGGGCGGAGUAAUGAUUAAUAGAGAUAGUUGGGGGUAUUCAUAUUUAAUUGUCAGAGGUGAGAUUCUUGGAUUUACGAAAGAUGAACUUCUGCGAAAGCAUUUAUCAAGGAUGUUUUCAUUAAUCAAGAACGAAAGUUAGGGGAUCGAAGACGAUCAGAUACCGUCGUAGUCUUAACCAUAAACCAUGCCGACCAGGGAUUGGGAGACGUUACAUGGAUGACUCCCCCAGCACCUUGCGAGAAAUCAUAAGUCUUUGGGUUCCGGGGGGAGUAUGGUCGCAAGGCUGAAACUUAAAGGAAUUGACGGAAGGGCACCACCAGGAGUGGAGCCUGCGGCUUAAUUUGACCCAACACGGGAAAACUUACCAGGUCCAGACAUAGUAAGGAUUGACAGAUUGAGAGCUCUUUCUUGAUUCUAUGGGUGGUGGUGCAUGGCCGUUCUUAGUUGGUGGAGUGAUUUGUCUGGUUAAUUCCGUUAACGAACGAGACCUCAGCCUGCUAAAUAGUUAUGCGAACCUUCUAUACGGGUGAAGCGUUUCGCUGUAGGGGUGCCCUCGGGUGUUUCUGCACGGAGCGUGGAUCCUUGAUGAGUUCGUAGAUAGACUUCUUAGAGGGACUAAUGAUGGAAAAUCAUUGGAAGUUUGAGGCAAUAACAGGUCUGUGAUGCCCUUAGAUGUCCUGGGCUGCACGCGCGCUACACUGAUUGAUUCAACGAGUUUAACACCUUGGCCGAUAGGUCUGGGUAAUCUUUUGAAAUUCAAUCGUGAUGGGGAUCGACGAUUGUAAUUAUUCGUCCUCAACGAGGAAUUCCUAGUAAGCGCGAGUCAUCAGCUCGCGUUGAUUACGUCCCUGCCCUUUGUACACACCGCCCGUCGCUCCUUCCGAUUGAAUGAUCCGGUGAAAUCUUCGGAUGGCGGCAUACGUCCGCGUGGGUAGCUACGCGGUAAUGCUGCCAGAAGUUGAUUAAACCUUAUCAUUUAGAGGAAGGAGAAGUCGUAACAAGGUU